RNAcentral lists this ribosomal RNA (497 nucleotides) under uncultured bacterium. RNAcentral describes it as "partial 16S ribosomal RNA". It matches the Rfam family "Bacterial small subunit ribosomal RNA", at positions 28 to 507 of the family's 1533-position model. The record is from RNAcentral.
GAUGAACGCUGGCGGCGUGCCUAAUACAUGCAAGUCGAGCGAACAGACGAGGAGCUUGCUCCUCUGUCGUUAGCCGCGGACGGGUGAGUAACACGUGUAUAACCUACCUAUAAGACGGGUAUAACUUCGGGAAACCGGAGCUAAUACCGGAUAAUAUAUUGAACCGCAUGGUUCAAUAGUGAAAGACGGUUUUGCUGUCACUUAUAGAUGCAUCCGGGCCGCAUUAGCUAGUUGGUAAGGUAACGGCUUACCAAGGCGACCAUGCGUAGCCGACCUGAGAGGGUGGUCGCCCACACUGGAACUGAGCCACGGUCCAGACUCCUACGGGAGGCAGCAGUAGGCAAUCUUCCGCAAUGGGCGAAAGCCUGACGGAGCAACGCCGCGUGAGUGAUGAAGGUCUUCGGAUCGUAAAGCUCUGUUAUUAGGGAAGAACAAAUGUGUAAGUAACUAUGCCCGUCUUGACGGUACCUAAUCAGAAAGCCACGGCUAACUACGUG